Molecule: ribosomal RNA, 358 nt
Filed under: uncultured Desulfobulbus sp.
Lineage: Bacteria; Pseudomonadati; Thermodesulfobacteriota; Desulfobulbia; Desulfobulbales; Desulfobulbaceae
Description: bacterial SSU rRNA
Rfam family: Bacterial small subunit ribosomal RNA
Source: RNAcentral
GAAGUCUGGAGACAGGUGCUGCAUGGCUGUCGUCAGCUCGUGUCGUGAGAUGUUGGGUUAAGUCCCGCAACGAGCGCAACCCUUGCCUUUAGUUGCCAGCAGUUCGGCUGGCACUCUAAAGGGACUGCCGGUGUUAAACCGGAGGAAGGUGGGGAUGACGUCAAGUCCUCAUGGCCUUUAUGACCAGGGCUACACACGUACUACAAUGGCCGAUACAAAGGGCAGCGACACUGCGAGGUGAAGCCAAUCCCGUAAAAUCGGUCUCAGUCCGGAUUGGAGUCUGCAACUCGACUCCAUGAAGUUGGAAUCGCUAGUAAUCGUGGAUCAGCAUGCCACGGUGAAUACGUUCCCGGGCCUU